GGGUUCGGGAAUAUUUUUCUCGAAGGGUUUUUCUUAAUGGUCGGGCCGCCAUUU
RNAcentral lists this non-coding RNA (54 nucleotides) under unclassified sequences. RNAcentral's name for it is "Li+-I sequence". It matches the Rfam family "nhaA-I RNA". Rfam says of the family: Acidobacteria, Alphaproteobacteria, Betaproteobacteria and Gammaproteobacteria, Verrucomicrobia, cand. division NC10. Downstream gene The record is from Rfam by way of RNAcentral.